RNAcentral lists this ribosomal RNA (473 nucleotides) under uncultured Corynebacterium sp. Its description in RNAcentral is "bacterial SSU rRNA". It matches the Rfam family "Bacterial small subunit ribosomal RNA", at positions 913 to 1382 of the family's 1533-position model. The record is from RNAcentral. Lineage: Bacteria; Bacillati; Actinomycetota; Actinomycetes; Mycobacteriales; Corynebacteriaceae.
ACGGGGGCCCGGCGACAAGCGGCGGAGCAUGUGGAUUAAUUCGAUGCAACGCGAAGAACCUUACCUGGGCUUGACAUACACCAGAUCGGCGCAGAGAUGCGUUUUCCCUUUGUGGUUGGUGUACAGGUGGUGCAUGGUUGUCGUCAGCUCGUGUCGUGAGAUGUUGGGUUAAGUCCCGCAACGAGCGCAACCCUUGUCUUAUGUUGCCAGCACGUGAUGGUGGGGACUCAUGAGAGACUGCCGGGGUUAACUCGGAGGAAGGUGGGGAUGACGUCAAAUCAUCAUGCCCCUUAUGUCCAGGGCUUCACACAUGCUACAAUGGUCGGUACAACGCGUGUGCGACACUGUGAGGUGAAGCUAAUCGCUCUAAAGCCGGUCGUAGUUCGGAUUGGGGUCUGCAACUCGACCCCAUGAAGUCGGAGUCGCUAGUAAUCGCAGAUCAGCAUGUCACGGUGAAUACGUUCCCGGGCCUU